UCGGGGACAGCAGCAGCGAUGACAGCAGCAGCAGCAGCAGCAGCCGCCCCGGCGGCAGCGGCGGCGGCGGUGGUGACCGGGUCCCCGGCGCGCGUGCGCGGCCCAUAGCCCCAGAUCAAGAUGUAGGACUCCUGACUCCUUCUCUAGCACCAUGUCUAUCUGAAUGCCACCAUGAUGAUAAUGGACUAAACCUCUGGACUGCCUUGAGACUUCAGCACAACUGACUCCAUGAUGAAAGUACCAUUCAGGCUGUAAAGUUCAACACGUAGACAACACCACCGGCCAAAACUAAAACAAAGGCCUAGUCCAUCAAAGUCCAUAAUUCUAGGAAAGUCUCUAAAUGUACUAACCUUGCUUUUAACUUCUGUAGUUCCACUUCUGACUAAUUGUCCUUGAUAAACUGAAGUAUGUCAACGUAGAACAAAGCUUUUGUGCUUAAGAGCUCACCCUGAGAAAGGGUUGGGACUACACUGAGAUCCCAAACAUCCAUUCUAUUAACCACCAGCUGGUUAAUAAAGACUUCCUAUUGGCUGAAACCCAUGUCCAAACAGUCUUCUUUGGUGGCUACCCCACAACAUUUUGGUGCAGACAAAUAUAGAGACAUUGAAAGUCACAUGCUGAAAAUAUGGAAACACAAAAAAACAGGACCUUAAGUCUUCAAACUUCAAGGACAGAUGACCAGAUGACCAUUUUAGAAUACACACACACACACACACACACACACACACACACACACACACGAAACUUCUCUUGUGUUAUACCAUUGAAAUGCAAAGGAUUACUUCUUUAAUUAUACCUAUAAUUAUAUGUAAAAAUAUUUAUAAUUUUUACCGAAUUCUUAAAUAUUAUUAAGGACCUGCCUUAAUAAUAUUCCCAGGGACCCAGAAGAGAAGCUACAAAUGGCGAGAAUGAUUUUGGGGAAAAGAAUCCGAGUACACCAAGCUCUUACUUAGUCCAUUUACUUUAUUCCUCUGGAAUAAGAUUCUAUCUACACAGCUACAGUUCUGUACUCAAGACUAGCUCCUUUCUUGUCUGAUUUCUCACUACCUUUAUCUGCUGUCCCCUCUAAGUUCUAUCUUAAUUCUCUCAUCUUAGUUCUGCCCCAUCUUGGUCUUUCUCAUCUUGUUCUUACCCAUCUCAUUCUUCCCCAUCUGGCUCUUCCUUAUCUUCCAUCUCAUUCUCCAUCUGGUUCUCCAGUCAAAAUCCUCCAAAUCCUCUCUCAGUCUCUGAGGUUUGCAGUUAUAUAUACACAUGCAAUAGCAGUGCUCUAGCCAAAGCAAGAUCACCAGGCUUGAAUUCUUACAGGGGCAUAAAGGCAGACCCUGUAAAGGCUGUUUUCCUCAGGCAGUGACCAUCAGGCUUUCUUUUACAACCCAAAAGGGGAGUGGUAAAAGAGGAGGUCAAUUGAGAGCUAAAGUCAGUUAAUAUAUCAGAAAAAAUGGAAUUUAUGUGCUCAGUCUACAUUCCUAGAAGUGGUUAGGUUAAAUGUUAGGAGUCUGUACUGUUAGUAUAAAUACCACUAAGGCUGUAUAAGAAAGGAGGGUCUCAGUUUAAAUUGCACAAGAAAUAAAGCUAUCCGCCUGACCUAAGAGACAGGCGUUGUUUCCAUAAGGAUAUUACCUUAGUUCAUGAGAUCGUUUGGCUUUGGAUGCUUGAUAGGCAUUUUAGAUAAAUACUGUUAGGAGUUCUUGGAAGCACACAUAGCAUACAAGUAAAUCAUUAUAGGUAUCAGCUAAUAUAUACAAAAGCUAAAAUAUCACCAAGACUCCUUAAGCCAUGGCUUGACCUUCGGAAAAGUCCUUGACUUUUCCAAGUAGUAGCUUUUGUAAUAGUAGUUGAAUUCCAUUUUCCUGCAGCUUGCAACAUUGAAGUAAUCUACUUACUGUCUAGUUACUAUCCAUCUCUAUUAGACUAUGGUUGUUGCUUAAGCACCUUUGGUAUGAGGAGUUAUAGUGGAAACUAAUUUAUGCAUUGUGUAGAAACUCUGGUAGAGAAAAACAACAUUUAUUUCCUUAGGAUAAAUACCAAUAGGGAUUGAUGGAAACAGAACUAACUUCAUGUGUGCUAAUGAAAAAACAAAACCUACAAAGAGAUGAGAUAUAGGUCAAACUCCCCAGAUGAAUAUAGACACAAAAAUUUUCAUUGAAAUACUUGCAAAGUAAAUUCAUGAACACAUACAAAAGAUCAUACACUGUGAGCAAGCUGGCUUCAUUCCAGAGAUGCAGAAGUAGUUCAAUAUACAUAAAUUAGUGCAUGUAAUAGCCAGAUAAAUAGAGUCAAUGACAGAAACCACAUGAUCAUCUCAUUAGAUAGACAAAAAAGCCUUUUGCACAAUCCAACAUCCCUUCAUAAUAAAAGCCACGUAGAAUCUAGAAAAAUGGCACAUAUCUCAACAUCAUAAAAGUGAUACAUAACAAGCCCACAGCAAGCAUCAUGCAAAAUGGGGGAGGGGAGCAAAAAAAAAAAAACUCCUCAAAGCAUUUCCACGAGUCAGGAACAAGGCAAAGAUGUCCACUCUCUCCAUUCCUGUUCAAUAUAGUGCUUGAAGUCUUAGCUGGAACAAUACGACAAGAGAAGGACAUGGAGGGUAGACACAUAAGAAAGAUUAUUGCAGAUGAGAUGAUACUAACCACAAAUUAUCCCGAAGAGCCUACUAGGACAGUCUUUCAGAUGAUAAACACACUCAGUUCAGCCAUGUGGCGGGACACAAGAUUAACACACAAGAUGCGGUAGCCUUCCUGCAUACCAACUUUAAAUGUGCUGAGGAAGAAAUCAAGGAAACAGUCAUUCACAACAAUCAAAAAAAAAAAAAAAAUCUUGGAAUAAGUUAACCAAGGAAAUGAAAGGCAUGUACAAUGAAAACUUUAAGACACUCAGAAAUUGAAGAAGAUUCAUUUAGAAGAUAGAUAGACCUCCCAUGUUCGUGGAUUGGUAAGAUUAAUACUGAGAAAAUGGCUAUCCUAUUAAAAAAAAAAAAUCUGUCAUUCAACACAAUCGCCAUUGAAAUUCCAAUGCAAUUUUUGCAGAAACUGAAAAAGGAAUCUCAAAGUUCAGAAGACACUAAAAUCAGAUACAGAUACGACAAUAAAAUAAAUGUAUCAGUCACUCUCUCUGAUGAACAUAGAUGCAAAAAUUCUCAAUUGUAAACUGAGUUCAAGAACACAUCAAAGAGUGUGGUGGUAUUGUGUUCCCCAAAAUAUUGUGUACCCUAAUAAACUUAUCUGGGGUCAGAGACAGAACAGCCACAAUAUUAAACAUAGAGGUUAGGCAGUGGUAGCACACACCUUUAAUCCUAGCAUUCCAGAGGCAGAUAUCUACCUGGAUCUCUGUGUGUUCAAGGAUACAGCCAGGCAUGGUGACUCACACCUUUAAUCCCAGGGAGUAAUGGUAGAAAGCAGAAAGGUAUAUAAGGCGUGAGGACCAAAAACUAGAAGCAUUUGGCUGGUUAAGCUUUCAGGCUUUUGAGCAACAGUUCAGCUGGGAUUCGUUUGGAUGAGGACUCAGAGGCUUCCAGUCUGAGAAAACAGGAUCAACUGAGGAACUGGUGAGGUGAGGUAGCUGUGGUUUGUUCUGCUUCUCUGAUCUUCCAGCAUUCACCCCAAUACCUGGCCUCAGGUUUGAUUUUAUUAAUAAGACCCUUAAGAUUCAUGCUACAAAAGAGCCCAUUCUUUCUGAUCAAGUUGGUUUUAUUACAGGGCUGUAGGUAUGGUGCAAUACAUGUAAUUCAAUAAAUAUAGUUCAGUGCAUAGAUAGACUCAAGGUUAGAAACCAUGUGAUCAUCUUAACAGAUGUACAAAAGACUUUUGACAAAAUCCAGUAUCUCUUCUUGAUAAAAUCCUUGGAGAGACUAGGGAUUAAAUGAAUGUAUUUCAACAUAACAAAGGUGGUAUCUGUGUAGGAGGCAUGGAGGUCCUUGUGCUCACAGAGAAACACUAGGGGAACCUAGAAUGUUAUAUGCACAGGAGCAUCCCUUCAAAGAAAGGGAUGUAUAACCUGUUAACCAGCCAGAAGGCUGGGAGCAGAUGUGGUUACUAGCCUAGUGACCUUUGCACUAUCUGUGUGGCUGAGACCAUAUAGGAUGCUCCCCUAGACCCUCAUCAAAAGCUUUGUUUUUCUCAAUUAACCUACAGAACCCAUCUUUAUGAAAAGAGUCAUAUGUACUUUAUAAAGAGUUUCGAUGUAGUCACAUCAGAUCUUUAUUUAGCUUACUUGUGUUUUAUUGUGCACACAAGACUGAGUUAAUUAUCACCAGGAGAGCUUUCGCCAAAUUGUGCUAUACUUAAAUAUGCCUAAAAUAAACUACUCGGGGUCAGACUCCCUAAGUUUGAACAAACUCUAGGUUCUUCUUAGUCAUGUUGAGCUGAACUACCUUCUUGCCCCCCAUACCCGCCCCCCACACAUACAUACAGAUUGUACUCGAAUACCCUCCACCUACCUACACACAUACAUACAUGCAUACUCAUUGCACUCACAUAAUCCCCCAUACAUACAUACAUACAUACAUACAUACAUACAUACAUACACACAUACAAAUAAAUAAAUGUUGAAAUUUUCUCAUUUGUAUUCAUUUUGUAUUUGACAGUUUCCUAUAAUGUAUUCUGAUUAUUCUUCUGCCUCUCAUAUUCCCCUCCUCCAUUUCUGUCAAACUCUCAUCCCUUCCACGUCCUUUCUCAGAUUCACAGCUGUUGGGUUUGUUUUGUGACCCAUUUGCCUUAAUCAGGACCAUUUUUGCAACUAUUGGAUUACAAACUCUCUUAUGGAGCGUGGUAGGGUCAUCAGAAAGUAUUCAGAUGAAGGCAAUGAUUGCCCUGCUUGCUGAAUUUAUUAAUAUCAAAUAGUUUAGCAGUGAGGGGCAGGGCCCCCAAGGUCCUGUUUUAUCCGUACCUGACUGCUGAUGGGCCCAUUCUUGUGCAGACCUAGUACAGACAUCCACAGUGAUUGUAAGUCCAUGAUUGCAAUGGCUGUGUUCUGCUCGAGAGAUGACAUUUCACAGCUCUUCUCAUUAUCUAGACCUUACAUUCUGUCCACCCUAUUUUUUUUUCAGUGUUCCCCGGGCCUUAGAGUAAAUGAUAUAAAUAUCUUGUUUAGGGCUGAGUACUUAUCCAUCUGUUAGUCUGAGUACCUUGUGUAGCCUUGAAUCUCUGCAUUCUCUGGAAAGAGGGGUUUCUCUGAUUACGUCUAAGGGUAGCGUUUAGUUAUGAGUACAAACAUAAAUACUUAGAAGGUUGUAGAUGAAUUUCUAAAUAAAU
Molecule: long non-coding RNA, 5249 nt
Organism: Peromyscus californicus insignis
Lineage: Eukaryota; Metazoa; Chordata; Mammalia; Rodentia; Cricetidae
Exons: 3
Source: RefSeq, a predicted model, not a curated record